This 391-nucleotide RNase P RNA is filed under the name Microscillaceae bacterium. RNAcentral describes it as "RNase P RNA component class A". It matches the Rfam family "Bacterial RNase P class A". From Rfam's summary of the family: Ribonuclease P (RNase P) is a ubiquitous endoribonuclease, found in archaea, bacteria and eukarya as well as chloroplasts and mitochondria. Lineage: Bacteria; Pseudomonadati; Bacteroidota; Cytophagia; Cytophagales; Microscillaceae. The record is from RNAcentral.
GAUGUAAGCCAUCUUAUCGCUGCUUUGGGCCUUGCGCCGCAAAGGAGAGGAAAGUCCGGGCAACACAGGGCGGCCUGCUUCCUAACGGGAAGGCGGGUUUUUGGUGACGAAAACCCGACGGAAAGUGCCACAGAAAAGAUACCGCCCCGCAAGGGGUAAGGGUGAAAAGGUAGGGUAAGAGCCUACCGCGCUUUGGGCGACCAAAGCGGCAGGGCAAACCCCAGGCGUUGAAAGACCAAAUAGGCUGGUGCUCCGUGCAGUCGGUAAAGGGCGGCCCGUCCGUAGCCAGUGGGUAGGUCGUUGGAGCUUGUUUGUGAAGGCAGGCCUAGAUAAAUGAUAAGAGCCUGGCGCAAUCCAGGAACAGAACCCGGCUUAUCGGCUUACAUCUUUU